This 517-nucleotide ribosomal RNA is filed under the name Saccocirrus sp. 9 MDD-2013. Its description in RNAcentral is "partial 16S ribosomal RNA". It matches the Rfam family "Bacterial large subunit ribosomal RNA", at positions 1798 to 2596 of the family's 2925-position model. The record is from RNAcentral. Lineage: Eukaryota; Metazoa; Annelida; Polychaeta; Saccocirridae.
GCCUGUUUAUCAAAAACAUUGCCGCAUGAUAAUAUAUAUGAGGUAAAUCCUGCCCGGUGAUUUUUUUAACGGCCGCGGUACCCUGACCGUGCAAAGGUAGCAUAAUCAUUUGCCCUUUAAUUGUGGGCUUGUAUGAAUGGACUUACGAGAGUAUAACUGUCUCUUCGAGAUCAAUUUAAAUUAACCUACAGGUGCAGAGGCCUGUAUUCAAAUGAAAGACAAAAAGACCCUAUCGAGCUUAAGUCAAACUUCAAACUAAUAUAUCAAUAUCAUAAUAUUGAAGUAAAACUUUUGUUGGGGCGACACAAGAGCAAACAAAGCCUCUUGAACAAAUAAAGGCAUUCUAGCCAAUAAAUGACCCAACUCAUUGAUCAAAAAACAAAGCUACCGUAGGGAUAACAGGCUAAUCUUUUCUAAGAGCCCAUAUUGACGAAAAGGAUUGGCACCUCGAUGUUGGCUUAGAACUCCCCUAAAUCGCAGCAGAUUUAAUGGCAGGUUUGUUCAACCGUUAAAGUUC